Molecule: ribosomal RNA, 354 nt
Filed under: Lysinibacillus xylanilyticus
Lineage: Bacteria; Bacillati; Bacillota; Bacilli; Caryophanales; Bacillaceae
Description: bacterial LSU rRNA
Rfam family: Bacterial large subunit ribosomal RNA
Source: RNAcentral
GGGCUGUUCGCCCAUUAAAGCGGUACGCGAGCUGGGUUCAGAACGUCGUGAGACAGUUCGGUCCCUAUCCGUCGUGGGCGUAGGAAAUUUGAGAGGAGCUGUCCUUAGUACGAGAGGACCGGGAUGGACACACCGCUGGUGUACCAGUUGUCUUGCCAAAGGCAUCGCUGGGUAGCUAUGUGUGGACGGGAUAAGUGCUGAAAGCAUCUAAGCAUGAAGCCCCCCUCAAGAUGAGAUUUCCCAUUACGCAAGUAAGUAAGAUCCCUCAAAGACGAUGAGGUAGAUAGGUUCGAGGUGGAAGUGUGGUGACACAUGGAGCUGACGAAUACUAAUCGAUCGAGGACUUAACCAAAA